Molecule: long non-coding RNA, 883 nt
Organism: Gasterosteus aculeatus aculeatus (three-spined stickleback)
Lineage: Eukaryota; Metazoa; Chordata; Actinopteri; Perciformes; Gasterosteidae
Source: Ensembl
CAGAGAACAGAGCAGAAAGGUCCGACAGUCUUUAAACGCGUCUUCAUGUUUCUGUGAAGCAGCGCGGCUUCAGCCUGCUAACAGGCAGCUAACAGGCAGCUAACAGGCUGCUAACAGACAGCUAACAGGCAGCUAACAGGCAGCUAACAGGCAGCUAACAGGCUGCUAACAGGCAGCUAACAGGCUGCUAACAGGCUGCUAACAGGCAGCUAACAGACAGCUGAGCUAAACUAACGAUGCCACGUUCAAACUCGCCGCAGCGUAAAAUAGUCGUCGCGGUCCGUAGUCGGUGCACAAGAAGCACCGCUGCACCGAUACGAGCGUCCUGGGUUCGUGGAUGACGUCAUCAUGACGCGUUAAUAUCCGCGUACUUUGUCUGUCUGUUGUCUGUCAGCUGCGGGCGAAUUUAGGGGGAAAAAGUAUCGUGACUUCUUCAACCACCAACAUGUUCGUCUCGUCAAGUCUCGAGGAGUUCGUCAGUUUUAGAAGAAUACAUUAUUCCUCCGUUCAUAAGGAACUGUGAAUAUGGAUCUUUCUUCUGCACUUCUACAAGCAUCCUCUAGAUUAGAAAAAAGGAUACAAUUAUUCAUACAUCUAAUUUUCAAAUACACUUGUUCAGUUUAUUGGAUUAGCUAAAAUGUGUGCUGUACAAAUUUCAACCUUGAUGAUAAUCCUAACCCGCAUAAUCUUUAAGUAUGUAAAGUCUAAACAUUACAAUAACAAACAACAUUGUCACGCUGUGGUUUUGUUUCCUGUCUUAUUGUGUAGUUUUCUGCUUCUUGUCUCCCUGGGUAACUUCACUUCACCUGCCUUGUCCUGUCGUUCCUUGUGAUCGUCUGUUUCCACCUGUGUCCAAUCACCUGCACCCAGGGCUGUAGUGGAG